RNAcentral lists this ribosomal RNA (679 nucleotides) under Chaetothyriales sp. RNAcentral's name for it is "SSU rRNA". It matches the Rfam family "Eukaryotic small subunit ribosomal RNA", at positions 38 to 722 of the family's 1831-position model. The record is from RNAcentral. Lineage: Eukaryota; Fungi; Ascomycota; Eurotiomycetes; Chaetothyriales.
CAAAGAUUAAGCCAUGCAUGUCUAAGUAUAAGCAAUCUAUACCGUGAAACUGCGAAUGGCUCAUUAAAUCAGUUAUCGUUUAUUUGAUAGUACCUUUACUUGGAUAACUGUGGUAAUUCUAGAGCUAAUACAUGCUAAAAACCUCGACUUCGGAAGGGGUGUAUUUAUUAGAUAAAAAACCAAUGCCCUUCGGGGCUCCUUGGUGAUUCAUAAUAACUUAACGAAUCGCAUGGCCUUGCGCCGGCGAUGGUUCAUUCAAAUUUCUGCCCUAUCAACUUUCGAUGGUAAGAUAGUGGCUUACCAUGGUCUUAACGGGUAACGGGGAAUUAGGGUUCUAUUCCGGAGAGGGAGCCUGAGAAACGGCUACCACAUCCAAGGAAGGCAGCAGGCGCGCAAAUUACCCAAUCCCAAUACGGGGAGGUAGUGACAAUAAAUACUGAUACAGGGCUCUUUUGGGUCUUGUAAUUGGAAUGAGUACAAUUUAAAUCCCUUAACGAGGAACAAUUGGAGGGCAAGUCUGGUGCCAGCAGCCGCGGUAAUUCCAGCUCCAAUAGCGUAUAUUAAAGUUGUUGCAGUUAAAAAGCUCGUAGUUGAACUUUGGGUCUGGCUGAUCUGUCCUCCUAAUCGAGCGCACGGAUUCGGUCGGACCUUUCCUUCUGGGGAACCCUAUGCCCUUCAC